AAAAAGACAUUAUAUGCAUUUUAAUCUAUUUAAAAUAGUAUGUGCUUCUUGGUGUGUUUCUUUGAUUUGAUCCAGGCCAUCAAUUCAAAUUGAUCAAUGCUCCUCAUUAGCAAUCCGUGUCCAUUUCUAUCAUCCAAUCAAAAUAUAGCAUUUAAAUUAAGUGCAUACUUAAUAAAGAAAAUGGAAAAUAUCUCUUCUUCUUUUGGACACGCCAACGGUCAGAAAGGAGAGAAAGGAAAACUCUCUCACAUUCCAACGUCUCUCUCUGAGCCAAAAAGGACAAAAAGAAAAAUAAUAAAGACUCUAACGGACAAAAACAAAAAAGAUAUCCCUCACAUCCCUCUCUUUGCUGCAACAAGAAAAAGAAGAAGCUCAGAGCUUUGAAAGAAAUAAAUGAAAGAGUUUUCAUUGUGGAGGCACAUACACACUCAAAUUACAUAACUCUCUCCGCUGUAACUUCAUAAAAUCUUCCUUCUCCCCACUCCAUCUUCAGCGUUAUCUCUUUCUUUCUCUCAUAUCCAAG
This 523-nucleotide long non-coding RNA is filed under the name Lathyrus oleraceus (garden pea). RNAcentral's name for it is "Pisum sativum (pea) long non-coding RNA (PSAT_LNC028944)". Lineage: Eukaryota; Viridiplantae; Streptophyta; Magnoliopsida; Fabales; Fabaceae. The record is from RNAcentral.